CCUACGGGGGGCUGCAGUGGGGAAUUUUGGACAAUGGGCGCAAGCCUGAUCCAGCUAUUCCGCGUGUGGGAAGACUGCCUUCGGGUUGUAAACCACUUUUGUAGAGAACGACAAGUCUGUUGAUAAUACCGAUAGAUGAUUACGGUACUCUAAGAAUAAGCACCGGCUAACUACGUGCCAGCAGCCGCGGUAAUACGUAGGGUGCGAGCGUUAAUCGGAAUUACUGGGCGUAAGGGGUUUGCAGGCGGUUUUGCAAGAUGGAUGUGAAAGCCCCGGGCUUAACCUGGGAAAGCCAGACAUGACUGCAAGACUAGAGUGCGUCAGAGGGGGGUGGAAUUCCAAGUGUAGCAGUGAAAUGCGUAGAUAUUUGGAAGAACACCGAUGGCGAAGGCAGCCCCCUGGGACGCAACUGACGCUCAUACACGAAAGCGUGGGGAGCAAACAGGAUUAGAUACCCCGGUAGUC
RNAcentral lists this ribosomal RNA (465 nucleotides) under uncultured bacterium. RNAcentral's name for it is "partial 16S ribosomal RNA". It matches the Rfam family "Bacterial small subunit ribosomal RNA", at positions 338 to 795 of the family's 1533-position model. The record is from RNAcentral.